ACGCUGGCGGCGUGCCUAAUACAUGCAAGUAGAACGCUGAAGGAGGAGCUUGCUUCUCUGGAUGAGUUGCGAACGGGUGAGUAACGCGUAGGUAACCUGCCUGGUAGCGGGGGAUAACUAUUGGAAACGAUAGCUAAUACCGCACAACAGUAGAUGUUGCAUGACAUUUGCUUAAAAGGUGCAAUUGCAUCACUACCAGAUGGACCUGCGUUGUAUUAGCUAGUUGGUGGGGUAUCGGCUCACCAAGGCGACGAUACAUAGCCGACCUGAGAGGGUGAUCGGCCACACUGGGACUGAGACACGGCCCAGACUCCUACGGGAGGCAGCAAUAGGGAAUCUUCGGCAAUGGACGGAAGUCUGACCGAGCAACGCCGCGUGAGUGAAGAAGGCUUUCGGAUCGUAAAGCUCUGUUGUAAGAGAAGAACAGGUGUGAGAGUGGAAAGUUCACACUGUGACGGUAUCUUACCAGAAAGGGACGGCUAACUACGUGCCAGCAGCCGCGGUAAUACGUUGGUCCCGAGCGUUGUCCGGAUUUAUUGGGCGUAAAGCGAGCGCAGGCGGUUAGAUAAGUCUGAAGUUAAAGGCUGUGGCUUAACCAUAGUACGCUUUGGAAACUGUUUAACUUGAGUGCAAGAGGGGAGAGUGGAAUUCCAUGUGUAGCGGUGAAAUGCGUAGAUAUAUGGAGGAACACCGGUGGCGAAAGCGGCUCUCUGGCUUGUAACUGACGCUGAGGCUCGAAAGCGUGGGGAGCAAACAGGAUUAGAUACCCCUGGUAGUCCACGCCGUAAACGAUGAGUGCUAGGUGUUAGACCCUUUCCGGGGUUUAGUGCCGCAGCUAACGCAUUAAGCACUCCGCCUGGGGAGUACGACCGCAAGGUUGAAACUCAAAGGAAUUGACG
Molecule: ribosomal RNA, 899 nt
Filed under: uncultured bacterium
Lineage: Bacteria
Description: bacterial SSU rRNA
Rfam family: Bacterial small subunit ribosomal RNA
Source: RNAcentral